AUACGGAGGUUGCGAGCGUUACUCGGAGUCACUGGGCGUAAAGCGUCCGUAGGCGGUCGGGUAAGUCGGGUGUGAAAGCCCCGGGCUCAACCUGGGAAGUGCACCCGAUACUGCUCGACUCGAGUGCGGGAGAGGAUGGCGGAAUUCCCGGUGUAGCGGUGAAAUGCGUAGAGAGCGGGAGGAACACCAGUGGCGAAGGCGGCCAUCUGGCCCGCAACUGACGCUGAGGGACGAAAGCGUGGGGAGCAAACAGGAUUAGAAACCCUUGUAGUCC
RNAcentral lists this ribosomal RNA (274 nucleotides) under uncultured bacterium. RNAcentral describes it as "partial 16S ribosomal RNA". It matches the Rfam family "Bacterial small subunit ribosomal RNA", at positions 523 to 796 of the family's 1533-position model. The record is from RNAcentral.